RNAcentral lists this ribosomal RNA (253 nucleotides) under uncultured bacterium. RNAcentral describes it as "partial 16S ribosomal RNA". It matches the Rfam family "Bacterial small subunit ribosomal RNA", at positions 524 to 776 of the family's 1533-position model. The record is from RNAcentral.
UACGGAGGGGACUAGCGUUGUUCGGAAUUACUGGGCGUAAAGGGCCAGUAGGCGGCCAACUAAGUCACACGUGAAAUCCCCAGGCUUAACCUGGGAACUGCGUGUGAUACUGGAUGGCUUGAAUUCGGGAGAGGGAUGCAGAAUUCCAGGUGUAGCGGUGAAAUGCGUAGAUAUCUGGAGGAAUACCGGUGGCGAAGGCGGCGAUCUGGGCAGAUACUGACGCUGAGGUGCGAAAGCGUGGGGAGCAAACAGG